This 504-nucleotide ribosomal RNA is filed under the name uncultured bacterium. RNAcentral describes it as "bacterial SSU rRNA". It matches the Rfam family "Bacterial small subunit ribosomal RNA", at positions 28 to 545 of the family's 1533-position model. The record is from RNAcentral.
GACGAACGCUGGCGGCGUGCUUAACACAUGCAAGUCGAACGGAAAGGCCCUGCUUGCAGGGUACUCGAGUGGCGAACGGGUGAGUAACACGUGGGUGAUCUGCCCUGCACUUCGGGAUAAGCUUGGGAAACUGGGUCUAAUACCGGAUAGGAGCCAUCUUUAGUGUGGUGGUUGGAAAGUUUUUUCGGUGUAGGAUGAGCUCGCGGCCUAUCAGCUUGUUGGUGGGGUAAUGGCCUACCAAGGCGGCGACGGGUAGCCGGCCUGAGAGGGUGUACGGCCACAUUGGGACUGAGAUACGGCCCAGACUCCUACGGGAGGCAGCAGUGGGGAAUAUUGCACAAUGGGCGCAAGCCUGAUGCAGCGACGCCGCGUGGGGGAUGAAGGCCUUCGGGUUGUAAACUCCUUUCGCUAGGGACGAAGCUUUUUUGUGACGGUACCUAGAUAAGAAGCACCGGCUAACUACGUGCCAGCAGCCGCGGUAAUACGUAGGGUGCGAGCGUUGUC